Molecule: ribosomal RNA, 116 nt
Filed under: Mus pahari (shrew mouse)
Lineage: Eukaryota; Metazoa; Chordata; Mammalia; Rodentia; Muridae
Source: RNAcentral
UCUACAGCCAUACCAUGCUGAAUGCACCUGAUCUCAGCUGUUUUCGGAAGCUUAGCAGGGUCAGGAUUGGUUAGCACUUGGAUGGGAGACCACCUGGAAUAUUGGGUGCUGUAGGC